RNAcentral lists this transfer-messenger RNA (397 nucleotides) under Sphingobacteriaceae. RNAcentral's name for it is "Pelobium sp014378105 Standard tmRNA". It matches the Rfam family "transfer-messenger RNA". From Rfam's summary of the family: Bacterial tmRNA, also known as 10Sa RNA or SsrA, is named for its dual tRNA and mRNA-like properties. RNAcentral also lists the same sequence under 1 other name. The record is from RNAcentral. Lineage: Bacteria; Pseudomonadati; Bacteroidota; Sphingobacteriia; Sphingobacteriales.
GGGCUCGACCGGAAUAGACAGGAUGGAUGAUAAGUGGGUAAGCAUGCAGCGCAAUGAGGGUUCAGAGCUCUAAUAUUGAUUCUCAAAACACAAAAGGCGAAAAUAACUACGCUCUUGCUGCUUAAUCUUAACCUAGUUAAGAUGGCUUAGUCAUACUUUAGAAGUAUGAGCGAGAUGUUUCCCGGAAGCCAAGUCUGGCGGCAGCCGAUCAGGAAGCACAGAAAUGCUAGAAUAAGGAGAGGUAAGUUUUGGACCUUUCUCGAAAACUAAAGAAACUAAGGAGUAAUCAGGCUGUUUGUGGCCAAACUGCUCUCGAAAACCAACCAUAAAAUAAGCAUGUAGAAAGCGCAACUGGUCCCAUGUUUGGACGAGGGUUCGAAUCCCUCCGGGUCCACAU